This is a long non-coding RNA of Pan paniscus (pygmy chimpanzee), 201 nucleotides long. The record is from Ensembl. Lineage: Eukaryota; Metazoa; Chordata; Mammalia; Primates; Hominidae.
AUGUGCUCUGCUAAGUGGAACUAUUUUGUUUACAUGCACCAACGCCCCAUUUGCAGAGAACCACGACGUAAUCAGUGCAAGAUACACAAAGGAUACAAAGUGAAAGGCUGUAACUUUGCAGAUGCAUCAACCCACCAUUCUACAUCAACGUGGUACCGGGAUCUUCACUUUAAUCUGCCAAAAUUCCAAGUUUUAGGAUGA